Long non-coding RNA from Mangifera indica (mango), 1780 nucleotides. RefSeq lists it as uncharacterized. The transcript has 2 exons. NCBI's taxonomy places the organism in Eukaryota, Viridiplantae, Streptophyta, Magnoliopsida, Sapindales, Anacardiaceae. The record is from RefSeq and is a predicted model, not a curated record.
UUUAUGCGGUAGAUCCACUUAUUGUGCCACAUCAUUACUCUGCCGCAUCAGCGCCAAAAUUAAAAAGAAAAUAAAUCACAUAAUGAUUUAUAAAUCAUCCCUGAGCAUUUUCCCCAAAACCACAAGCCACAAUGUCAAGCCCUAAAUCACAAUCCAUAAGAAAGAGUCUCGUUAACACAAAUUUCAAUCAAGGCUGCAGCUGGAUAUUCAUAUUCUCGCCGAUGUUGGUUAGACACUGGUUAAAUUUCUUGAUUCUCUCCCUAGACUGGAGAAGUGUGGAGAAGGAAAAAUUGGAUUAAAAUGAAGCAAAGUGGAAAUAUGGAGACGAAGGAGCAGAGAUGGACUUAGGAAAAUUAUGGAAGAGAUAGUUUUUUGGGUUUUUUUUUUUCUUUUAUUUCAACUUAAUUUCUUCUCUUUUUCUAUUUUAUUUCCCUAAUUUUUCUAUGAUAGUUAAAAGCAAUUACGUAAUUCAAAUAUUUAAUUUUGAAUUUCCCUCAUGCUUUGAGAGCUUCGUAGACAAAGAGGAGAUAAAGAUACUAUUUUGAAAUUGAAUUUAAAUAGUGGGCUGAUAUAUGUGAAUUCUUCUUAGAAUUCCUUCAUGUUUUAUUGAAGGAAUUUUUUUUUUUUUAAAUUGGGAAACACUUCAUACGAGCAUCAUUAUUAGUCCCUUUGUUUGUUAGAAGGUUAUUAUUUUGUUUUUGAAGCAUUAUCAGAUUAGUUUUUGCAUGAGAAAAAUUGGUUGAUCUAAUAUUACUACUUCACAAUCAGUCGGAUUGAUGGGUGGAAAUGUUUUAGCCGAAAGAAUUUGAUGAGUGAAGAAUGAAAUUUUCCGAAGAACUAUGUUGCUAGAGAAUUAAAAAUUGUUUCUCUAACAUAGUAAUACUUGAAACACAUCUGGCUGGUUCGCUCUUCUCAGCUUGAAUCUCCUAUGCCAGAUUUUAUUAUUGCUUUUGUUCCUUUUUUUUUUUUUUUUUUGAAUCCUUGCUCUUAUAGAUCUAGUUGUUGGAUAAGUCUUUAGACCUUGCACUUUGGUAGCCAUGAUUUGAUUUUCUGAAUCGGAAGGAAUGGUAUUAGUUUUGACAAAGAGAGAGAUUGUACUAUGUUGUUUGCAUCUGCUUGUGAACAACUGUAAUCACUUUCAUCCAACGCUUUGUGCUUGUUCUUAUUUUUGGGUUAUCCCCAGUAAGUAUACUAAUGCAAGUUGGUAGUUUUUUCUUUUUUUUUAAAUUUUUUUAAUUUUUACUUUGAUAUCAGCUAUCUUAGGUUCCUCGAACAUGACAUGGAAAGAGGUGAAAGAACUAGGUGGAAAGGUAAGAACUCCUAAAGCAUGGAACUUUGAGGAUAAUUAACUUUUCUCCCCAUGUACUAAAUGCGUUUUCAGAUGAUUUCAUCUUUCAAGCAAGCAUCAGUUUCGAAGCAAGAUAAUCAGCUACUCAACCUACUUGAAAAAAAUAAUUUCGUAUUUUGGUAUACCGCAAUUUUUGGGACUGGGAGAGUCUUGGUUGGUUAGAAGAGAAUAAUCAUCUUUCCAUUGUCAAGGCAACAAAUGACCAAGUGAUUUGUUUGGACAAGUAUUAUAUUUGUUUAUUUAAUUUUAUUCAAACUAAUGACUAUUCUCUAGGUAGUAUUUUUACCGUUUACAUAAUUCUUUUGAAGAUUGUUGACAUGUAAUUAUAAUUGGAGAUCAGUUAUACAACUAUCAUUGAUUUGUUUGUAUAGUUGAAGAUUGUUGACCUGUUUGUAUUUUUGAAGCAUAUGAAAUAGUGUUUACACCAGAUAA